This 382-nucleotide unclassified non-coding RNA is filed under the name uncultured bacterium. Its description in RNAcentral is "contains 16S-23S intergenic spacer region". The record is from RNAcentral.
UCCGGCUUGUCACCGGCAGUUUCUCCAGAGUGCCCGGCCGAACCGAUGGCAACUGAAGAUGGGGGUUGCGCUCGUUGCGGGACUUAACCCAACAUCUCACGACACGAGCUGACGACAGCCAUGCAGCACCUGUGUUCCCGCCAGCCGAACUGAAGAGUGGGGUCUCCCCCACCCACACGGGACAUGUCAAGGGCUGGUAAGGUUCUUCGCGUUGCGUCGAAUUAAACCACAUGCUCCACCGCUUGUGCGGGCCCCCGUCAAUUCCUUUGAGUUUCAACCUUGCGGUCGUACUCCCCAGGCGGGGUACUUCCUGCGUUAGCGCCGGCACCCAGAGGGUCGCUCCCCCAGGCACCUAGUACCCAUCGUUUACGGCGUGGACUAC